Molecule: long non-coding RNA, 468 nt
Organism: Xiphophorus couchianus (Monterrey platyfish)
Lineage: Eukaryota; Metazoa; Chordata; Actinopteri; Cyprinodontiformes; Poeciliidae
Exons: 3
Source: RefSeq, a predicted model, not a curated record
CCGUGGCCCCCAGCCAGGCCACCAGAGUGGGCCCCGCGCUCAGGUGGGACGCCAGGAUCUUCUUCAUGGCCCCGCCCACAAACACCGUCACCACGGCCAGGUCUUUAUUUUGCUAACAUGAGUAGCGGGGUCCUGCGACGGACCAGCGACCCGUCCAGGGUGACCCCGCCUCUUGCCCGUUGACAGCUGGAGAGGCAGCAGCACCCCUUCUGACCCCAGUGGGACGAGGCUGGAAGAAAAUGGAUGGACGGACGGUAGCGGGGUCCGGGUUAGGACCUGGACCUCCUUCCUGGUCUCCGGAGCGCGGGCCCAGAGGAAGGAUUUCUGCGGCACACACACAGGAACGAUCCAAGCUCCAUCUAAACCAGGGGUCUCAAACUCCAGUCCUCGAGGGCCGCAGACCUACAGUUUUUAGAUGUGCCACAGGUGGUGCAGCAGAGGCUCAUCUAAAAGUUGCAGGACUGCGGC